This 32-nucleotide non-coding RNA is filed under the name Homo sapiens (human). The record is from RNAcentral. Lineage: Eukaryota; Metazoa; Chordata; Mammalia; Primates; Hominidae.
UGCUGUAACCAGUGCUGAAUAAGCUCACCAGC